GUUGAACGCUGGCGGAAUGCUUUACACAUGCAAGUCGAACGGCAGCACGGACUUCGGUCUGGUGGCGAGUGGCGAACGGGUGAGUAAUGUAUCGGAACGUGCCCAGUCGUGGGGGAUAACGUAGUGAAAAUUACGCUAAUACCGCAUACGAUCUAUGGAUGAAAGCGGGGGAUCGCAAGACCUCGCGCGAUUGGAGCGGCCGAUAUCAGAUUAGGUAGUUGGUGGGGUAAAGGCCCACCAAGCCAACGAUCUGUAGCUGGUCUGAGAGGACGACCAGCCACAAUGGAACUGAGACACGGUCCAGACUCCUACGGGAGGCAGCAGUGGGGAAUUUUGGGCAAUGGGCGAAAGCCUGAUCCAGCCAUUCCGCGUGCAGGAUGAAGGCCCUCGGGUUGUAAACUGCUUUUGUACAGAACGAAAAGGUUUCUACUAAUACUAGGAGCUCAUGACGGUACUGCAAGAAUAAGCACCGGCUAACUACGUGCCAGCCGCCGCCGUAA
Molecule: ribosomal RNA, 500 nt
Filed under: uncultured bacterium
Lineage: Bacteria
Description: partial 16S ribosomal RNA
Rfam family: Bacterial small subunit ribosomal RNA
Source: RNAcentral